RNAcentral lists this long non-coding RNA (2861 nucleotides) under Brassica rapa (field mustard). RNAcentral's name for it is "long non-coding RNA (BRAP_LNC007381)". The record is from RNAcentral. Lineage: Eukaryota; Viridiplantae; Streptophyta; Magnoliopsida; Brassicales; Brassicaceae.
GCGGAUUUAACGAUUCGGUGCAAGGGUGGAUUGCGUCGAAUUCGACGGCAGCGAUGAGUAUUUCUCUUGUCUCACGCCUCCGAUGAAUAUUUGAUUGCGCACUGUGCCUCCUACUUCCAAGCUCCAAUCCCAGGUUCGCAUCUCCGGCUAUCCCAUCCUUUUCGUUUAUUAAUGUAUAUGAUUUUCCGUUUUAGCUUUUAGUUUCUUAAAUUUAGUUUAGCGAGUUAGAGAUGGGUAGAUGGAUUAUCGAGGCCAGCGACAUAACAAAAAAUAGUUGUGGCACACAUUAUAAAACUUAGUAGCACAUACUAUAUAACUCUAGCAACGUGUUGAAUCAUCUUUAACCGGUUCAAAACAGUUGAUUAAUUAUCUUGAUCUCCACGGCUUGGUCCUCUUCAUUGUCCGUAUUUAAAUGACCCUCUAAAUCCUCAUGUGAUAAACGGAUCCUCUCCAGCUCCAUUGAAACCUCUCUCAUGUUUGGUCGUUUCCUUCCUUUCCGGCUUAGACACCUUCUAGCUAGUUUUGCGACUGCCAUCACUUGGUCCAGCUUGCUUUGGUCUUUGAUCCGAUCAUCAAUGAUGUCAAACCCUCUGUUUUCUUUCAUGGCCUCAAGAAAAUCAGCUGCCAAUCCUCUUCCUUCUUCAGACCGGACACGAGUCAAUGGUUUUUCUCCGGUUAUGAGCUCCACAAGUACAACCCCAAAACUAUAAACAUCGCUCUUGUCAGUAUAUUGGCUUGACAGAAAGUACUCUGGAUCCAUGUACCCAAAAGUGCCUGCAACUAAUGUUGUCAAGUGAGUUUGAUCUACUGUUAUCGAUCUCGAAGUUCCAAAGUCAGACACCUUGGCUCUGUAUUUCUCAUCCAAUAGUAUAUUAGUAGUUUUGAUAUCUCUAUGGUAUAUUGGAAAAGAUGCUGAUGAGUGCAUGUAUGAAAGGGCUCCAGCAAUCUCUAUAGCUAUGCCAAGACGUACUUCCCAAGUCAUGUUGUAAUCUUCAGACUCAUCAUGAAGACGCUUGAACAGAUCUCCAUUUGGAAUAUAUUCGUAAACAAGGAUCGGAACUUCUGUCUCUAGACAACAUCCCAAGAGUUUCACAAUGUUCCUAUGGUUUACCUGCGAGAGAAGUGCGACUUCAUUGAUGAACUCUUGCAUCUUGUCUUCGUCCACAAGUUUCGAUCUUUUAACCGCGACGAUCCUCCCAUCCACCAGCAUUCCUUUGUACACCGUGCCUUGACCUCCUUUCCCAAGGACCCUGUUCACGCUGAAGUUAUCCGUGGCUUUCUUCAAUUCCUUUGAGCUAAAGAUCCUCGACAUCUCUACGUUCCCGUCUUUCGUGGUGGUUAGUUGUUGUUUCAACAACAAGCCUCCAUUACGUUUAAAAAACUUCUUGCUGUGGAUGAUCUUCCUUCGCUUUUUCACAAGUUUGUACAGCCCCAAGAGUCCUAGGACGAACAACAACACUCCUAGACCUAUAAGAACACCUACACCAACGAAGAAAGUAAACUACUUGUAGUAGUCUCGUAGAUGCUUACUUUAACUUACCUUGAAGCACAGAGGUCUUUUGAGGCUUGGUUACGAUGGGAUUGCAGCUAUAUGAUCCAGGCCAGUUCACACAAGUCCUUUCUCCACAAAUGUUGUGUCCUUUGCAUUCAUCUAUGUCUACACACAUUUUUAAUCAUACUAAUUAAUGACUUGAUCAUAAUCAAAGCAUGAAAAAAAAAAAUUAAGAAGAAACGUUCACUUUUACCUAUGCAGCCGUGUUUAACGUAUGGGUUCCCUGUGUAGCCAUUAUUGCAAUAACAGUUCCUAUAACUCAUCCCAGAGAAGUACUGAUAUUCGCAACCGCAUUUAUCAAAUGAGGUGUAAGAACUGUAACGCGUCAUAUUUCUACAACCUAAGGGGCUCCUAAAGCGAGAAUCCGAAGUAUCAAAGUACCAUCCUAGCUCUACCAACGCAUACCCCAACGAAUGAAACUGUUCUGGCGCUGUUACAUUCAUCGGUGAGUACCUCUUGUUAGUCAAGAAGGCAACUCUGCACCCUUCUCCUCCUGUGACAUCUAUAUUCACACCUAUAACUUGUGGACGUUCUAAAGGUAUCCUCGCCUGGCAACAUCUGAAACCAUCGCAGACCGAGUUUGUUACUUGCUGACUACGUUUACUGUCUUGGCAGCUCGAUUCACAACCUAUGAUCUCUGAUUCUAUAUCUGUAAGAGAUGUCUUGGCACCGCAACCAACCGCCACGAGACGGUUUUGGUCUGUGAGAAAAUAUGGACUGCCUCUUCCCGUGACAUUCAAAACUGGCGUUGACUUUUCUAGUCCUUGACUAGAGCAGCCCAAAGAAGUCACGGGACCUUUGAUGUGAACCGCUCCGUAUGGUUUAUUACCGUCUGGAAGAGAGAUGUUGACCAAUUCGGUGUUGAUCCGUGAGAGGAACGGUACGGUGGUGUUACAGACAACCUCGUACCAGUUGUUGAGAUAGCAGUCUUUCUCGCCUAUUCCGAAAGGGAAGGGGAUAGAGAUUCCUCCACAGGUUCUAAUACACGAAGUUGAAGAGUUACCUUCUGAACGUGGAGGUGGUGUUGCUGCUGAGGAUGAGCCAUUGAUGAGCUGCAGAGUUAGGACAUAAGCUACAAUACAUAGAAAGUUGUAAGAAGCUGUCUUCAUACUUGUGUUUGAUUCCAAUCGAUAUUUUUUUAAUGUAGAUAAAGAAAUCUUUGAGAUAUCCUAAUAAGAAGUCCACUAACGCAUUCAAAGAAGUUUGAAUAUAGACGCGUGAAGUGUUUUCAACCAGAAAAAAGAAGUCAACUCCGUUUGGCCUCUUUCAUUUCAAUCAUUGUACCGUUGACUUUUCCACUUAAUGUGUG